CAAUAGCGUAUAUUAAAGUUGUUGCGGUAAAAAAGCUCGUAGUUGGAUUUCUACCGAAGAUAGCCAGUCGGGUCUUCGACCUUGUAUCUGGUUUUGUCUUUGGUAUCCUCAUAGGGAACGUUUCUGCGCUUUAUUGCGUGGUGCGGUAUCUAUGACUUUUACUUUGAGGAAAUUAGAGUGUUCACGGCAGGCAAACGCCUUGAAUAUAUUAGCAUGGAAUAAUAACAUAGGAUCUUCGUCCUAUUUUGUUGGUUUCUAGGGCUAAGAUAAUGAUUAAUAGGGAUAAUUGGGGGCAUCUGUAUCAACGCGUCAGAGGUGGAAUUCUUGGAUUGCGUUGCGACAAACUACUGCGAAAGCAUUUGCCAAGGAUGUUUUCAUUGA
Molecule: ribosomal RNA, 381 nt
Filed under: uncultured eukaryote
Lineage: Eukaryota
Description: partial 18S ribosomal RNA
Rfam family: Eukaryotic small subunit ribosomal RNA
Source: RNAcentral